AAAAUGCAUCCUGGUACAUUGUGUCCUUUAGCAGGUUGGCCCAAGGCCACAGCAAGAUGCGCCAAAACCAAUGGUCUGGCCCAUUUCCAGGAGCCCCAAACCAUGACUUGCGGGACAAUCCUGAGUGACCUUCGGGAGAAAAUGAGUUCCAUCAAUUUUCCGAGUAUUGCCACAAGCACUCAAAUCCUCACAUCCAAGGCAGAGAUUCUCACUGCUAAGAACAUCACCAUGGCAGCCCAAAUCGCCACGGAACUUCUGCUUUCCAGCGCCUCAGAGGAGGUCAUCAUCGCCGCAGUCACAACCAUCAGCCAGCUUCUGAAUGCCAACAGUUCUAAAUUCUCUUCCCAGAACAGCAAUGCCACAAAGAGGUAAACCACAUGCACCAGUUGUAGGCUGU
RNAcentral lists this long non-coding RNA (397 nucleotides) under Scleropages formosus (Asian bonytongue). RNAcentral's name for it is "lncRNA (ENSSFOG00015025152.1)". The record is from RNAcentral. Lineage: Eukaryota; Metazoa; Chordata; Actinopteri; Osteoglossiformes; Osteoglossidae.